GACGAACGCUGGCGGCGUGCCUAACACAUGCAAGUCGAACGGAGUAAAGCGCUGAAAAGGAGGUAGCUUGCUACUGAAUUUUCUGUUUACUUAGCGGCGGACGGGUGAGUAACACGUGGGUAACCUGCCUUAUAGAGGGGGAUAGCCUUCCGAAAGGAAGAUUAAUACCGCAUAAGAAGUAGAAGUCGCAUGGCUUUAGCUUUAAAGGAGCAAUCCGCUAUAAGAUGGACCCGCGGCGCAUUAGCUAGUUGGUGAGGUAACGGCUCACCAAGGCGACGAUGCGUAGCCGACCUGAGAGGGUGAUCGGCCACAUUGGAACUGAGAUACGGCCCAGACUCCUACGGGAGGCAGCAGUGGGGAAUAUUGGGCAAUGGGCGAAAGCCUGACCCAGCAACGCCGCGUGAAGGAAGAAGGCCUUCGGGUUGUAAACUUCUUUUACCAGGGACGAAGAACGUGACGGUACCUGGAGAAAAAGCAACGGCUAACUACGUG
Molecule: ribosomal RNA, 492 nt
Filed under: uncultured bacterium
Lineage: Bacteria
Description: bacterial SSU rRNA
Rfam family: Bacterial small subunit ribosomal RNA
Source: RNAcentral